ACGGAAGGCAGCAGUGGGGAAUAUUGGACAAUGGGGGCAACCCUGAUCCAGCGACGCCGCGUGAGUGAAGAAGUAUUUCGGUAUGUAAAGCUCUAUCAGCAGGGAAGAUGAUGACGGUACCUGACUAAGAAGCCCCGGCUAACUACGUGCCAGCAGCCGCGGUAAUACGUAGGGGGCAAGCGUUAUCCGGAUUUACUGGGUGUAAAGGGAGCGUAGACGGCAAGGCAAGUCUGAUGUGAAAGGCAGGGGCUCAACUCCUGGACUGCAUUGGAAACUGUCUGGCUGGAGUACCGGAGGGGUAAGCGGAAUUCCUAGUGUAGCGGUGAAAUGCGUAGAUAUUAGGAGGAACACCAGUGGCGAAGGCGGCUUACUGGACGGUAACUGACGUUGAGGCUCAAAAGCGUGGGGAGCAAACAGGAUUAGAUACCCUGGUA
This 434-nucleotide ribosomal RNA is filed under the name uncultured Lachnospiraceae bacterium. RNAcentral's name for it is "partial 16S ribosomal RNA". It matches the Rfam family "Bacterial small subunit ribosomal RNA", at positions 341 to 792 of the family's 1533-position model. The record is from RNAcentral. Lineage: Bacteria; Bacillati; Bacillota; Clostridia; Lachnospirales; Lachnospiraceae.